Molecule: ribosomal RNA, 468 nt
Filed under: uncultured bacterium
Lineage: Bacteria
Description: partial 16S ribosomal RNA
Rfam family: Bacterial small subunit ribosomal RNA
Source: RNAcentral
GACGAACGCUGGCGGCGUGCUUAACACAUGCAAGUCGAACGGAAAGGCCCUGCUUUUGUGGGGUGCUCGAGUGGCGAACGGGUGAGUAACACGUGAGUAACCUGCCCUUGACUUUGGGAUAACUUCAGGAAACUGGGGCUAAUACCGGAUAGGAGCUCCUGCUGCAUGGUGGGGGUUGGAAAGUUUCGGCGGUUGGGGAUGGACUCGCGGCUUAUCAGCUUGUUGGUGGGGUAGUGGCUUACCAAGGCUUUGACGGGUAGCCGGCCUGAGAGGGUGACCGGCGACAUUGGGACUGAGGUACGGCCCAGACUCCUACGGGAGGCAGCAGUGGGGAAUAUUGCACAAUGGGCGGAAGCCUGAUGCAGCAACGCCGCGUGCGGGAUGACGGCCUUCGGGUUGUAAACCGCUUUCGCCUGUGACGAAGCGGGAGUGACGGUAAUGGGUAAAGAAGCACCGGCUAACUACGUG